UAGUCCACGCUGUAAACGAUGAUUACUCGUUGUGUGCAAUACAUCGUACGCGACUGAGCGAAAGCAUUAAGUAAUCCACCUGGGGAGUACGAUCGCAAGAUUGAAACUCAAAGGAAUUGACGGGGGCCCGCACAAGCGGAGGAACAUGUGGUUUAAUUCGAUGAUACGCGAGGAACCUUACCUGGGCUUAAAUGUAGACCGACGAACGGGGAAACUCGUUUUUCUUCGGACGUUUUACAAGGUGCUGCAUGGUUGUCGUCAGCUCGUGCCGUGAGGUGUCGGGUUAAGUCCCAUAACGAGCGCAACCCCUAUCGUUAGUUGCCAGCGAGUAAUGUCGGGGACUCUAACGAAACUGCCGGUGUAAACCGUGAGGAAGGUGGGGAUGACGUCAAAUCAGCACGGCCCUUAUGUCCAGGGCUACACACGUGUUACAAUGGUCGGUACAAAGGGCAGUUACCUGGUGACAGGAUGCUAAUCUCUAAAACCGGUCCCAGUUCGGAUCGAAGUCUGCAACUCGACUUCGUGAAGUUGG
RNAcentral lists this ribosomal RNA (532 nucleotides) under uncultured bacterium. Its description in RNAcentral is "bacterial SSU rRNA". It matches the Rfam family "Bacterial small subunit ribosomal RNA", at positions 791 to 1329 of the family's 1533-position model. The record is from RNAcentral.